This 787-nucleotide ribosomal RNA is filed under the name uncultured euryarchaeote. RNAcentral's name for it is "bacterial SSU rRNA". It matches the Rfam family "Archaeal small subunit ribosomal RNA", at positions 85 to 876 of the family's 1478-position model. Lineage: Archaea; Methanobacteriati; Methanobacteriota. The record is from RNAcentral.
ACGGCUCAGUAACACGUGGUCAAUCUACCCUAUGGUGGAGGAUAUCCCCGGGAAACUGGGACUAAUACUCCAUAGAUUAGGUGCAUUGGAAUUAUCACUUAAUUUAAAGAUCCGUCGCCAUAGGAUGAGACUGCGUCCGAUUAGGUUGUUGUUGGGGUAUGUGCCCACCAAGCCUAUAAUCGGUACGGGUUGUGGGAGCAAGAGCCCGGAGAUGGACUCUGAGACACGAGUCCAGGCCCUACGGGGCGCAGCAGGCGCGAAACCUUUACCAUGCGGGCAACCGUGAUAAGGAAACCCCGAGUGGAUGAACAGUCAUCCUGUCCACCAGUUUAAAACGCUGGUGAAGAAAGGGCCGGGCAAGACCGGUGCCAGCCGCCGCGGUAAUACCGGCGGGUCGAGUGGUGGCCACUAUUACUGGGCUUAAAGGGUCCGUAGCUUGCAUGAUAAGCCUCUUGAGAAAUCCACUGGCUUAACCAAUGGUCGUUCAGGAGGUACUGUCAUGCUAGGGACCGGGAGAGGUAAGGGGUACUGCCGGGGUAGGAGUGAAAUCCUGUAAUCCUGGUGGGACCACCGGUGGCGAAGGCGCCUUACCAGAACGGCUCCGACAGUGAGGGACGAAAGCUGGGGGAGCGAACCGGAUUAGAUACCCGGGUAGUCCCAGCCGUAAACGAUGCGCGUUAGGUGUGUCAGUGACCACGCGUCACUGAGGUGCCGAAGGGAAACCGUGAAACGCGCCGCCUGGGAAGUACGGUCGCAAGGCUGAAACUUAAAGGAAUUGGCGGGGGAG